GGCGGCCGUAACUAUAACGGUCCUAAGGUAGCGAAAUUCCUUGUCGGGUAAGUUCCGACCUGCACGAAUGGCGUAAUGAUGGCCAGGCUGUCUCCACCCGAGACUCAGUGAAAUUGAACUCGCUGUGAAGAUGCAGUGUACCCGCGGCAAGACGGAAAGACCCCGUGAACCUUUACUAUAGCUUGACACUGAACAUUGAGCCUUGAUGUGUAGGAUAGGUGGGAGGCUUUGAAGUGUGGACGCCAGUCUGCAUGGAGCCGACCUUGAAAUACCACCCUUUAAUGUUUGAUGUUCUAACGUGGACCCGUGAUCCGGGUUGCGGACAGUGUCUGGUGGGUAGUUUGACUGGGGCGGUCUCCUCCUAAAGAGUAACGGAGGAGCACGAAGGUUGGCUAAUCCUGGUCGGACAUCAGGAGGUUAGUGCAAUGGCAUAAGCCAGCUUGACUGCGAGCGUGACGGCGCGAGCAGGUGCGAAAGCAGGUCAUAGUGAUCCGGUGGUUCUGAAUGGAAGGGCCAUCGCUCAACGGAUAAAAGGUACUCCGGGGAUAACAGGCUGAUACCGCCCAAGAGUUCAUAUCGACGGCGGUGUUUGGCACCUCGAUGUCGGCUCAUCACAUCCUGGGGCUGAAGUAGGUCCCAAGGGUAUGGCUGUUCGCCAUUUAAAGUGGUACGCGAGCUGGGUUUAGAACGUCGUGAGACAGUUCGGUCCCUAUCUGCCGUGGGCGCUGGAGAACUGAGGGGGGCUGCUCCUAGUACGAGAGGACCGGAGUGGACGCAUCACUGGUGUUCGGGUUGUCAUGCCAAUGGCACUGCCCGGUAGCUAAAUGCGGAAGAGAUAAGUGCUGAAAGCAUCUAAGCACGAAACUUGCCCCGAGAUGAGUUCUCCCUGAGACUUUAAGUCUCCUGAAGGAACGUUGAAGACGACGACGUUGAUAGGCCGGGUGUGUAAGCGCAGCGAUGCGUUGAGCUAACCGGUACUAAUGAACCGUGAGGCUUAACCUU
This 1002-nucleotide ribosomal RNA is filed under the name Salmonella enterica. RNAcentral's name for it is "partial 23S ribosomal RNA". It matches the Rfam family "Bacterial large subunit ribosomal RNA", at positions 1929 to 2925 of the family's 2925-position model. The record is from RNAcentral. Lineage: Bacteria; Pseudomonadati; Pseudomonadota; Gammaproteobacteria; Enterobacterales; Enterobacteriaceae.